UACGGAGGAGGCUAGCGUUGUUCGGAAUUACUGGGCGUAAAGCGCGCGCAGGCGGUCUUGCAAGUCAGGGGUGAAAGCCCGGGGCUCAACCUCGGAACUGCCUUUGAGACUGUGAGACUCGAGAACGAGAGAGGAGAGUGGAAUUCCCAGUGUAGAGGUGAAAUUCGUAGAUAUUGGGAAGAACACCAGUGGCGAAGGCGGCUCUCUGGCUCGGUACUGACGCUGAGGCGCGACAGCGUGGGGAGCAAACAGG
RNAcentral lists this ribosomal RNA (253 nucleotides) under uncultured bacterium. RNAcentral describes it as "partial 16S ribosomal RNA". It matches the Rfam family "Bacterial small subunit ribosomal RNA", at positions 524 to 776 of the family's 1533-position model. The record is from RNAcentral.